This 334-nucleotide long non-coding RNA is filed under the name Androctonus crassicauda. The record is from RNAcentral. Lineage: Eukaryota; Metazoa; Arthropoda; Arachnida; Scorpiones; Buthidae.
CAAUUUUGAUUUCUCUUGUGGUGCAAGUUAUCACCUCUGAUUUAAAAUGUCUAAUAAUCAAGUUAGUGUUGAAGCUUUACAGCAGCAAUUAAAUUUGCUAAAUCAACAAGUUACUGUUUUAACACAGUCAAUAUUACGAUUAACUAAUCAAGAAACAGAAGUUUCCAGUGAGCCAUUUAUGCUGUCCGAGGAACCAACACAUUUCCAGAGACCAGUUCAGGCCUCCACCCCAUCUAUUGCUGCCCAUUCUGAAAAUCCUUCUAUCAUCGUCAUAGUUACCAAUAUGACACCUCACAUAUUUAUCUAUUAUAUACUGGAAAAUAUGACAUCUACA